This 80-nucleotide transfer RNA is filed under the name Helianthus annuus (common sunflower). RNAcentral describes it as "tRNA HanXRQr2_Chr11g0503651". The record is from RNAcentral. Lineage: Eukaryota; Viridiplantae; Streptophyta; Magnoliopsida; Asterales; Asteraceae.
GGCUUUGUAGCCUAGUGGCAUUUUGGUGGUGGGUUAAGGCUUAGAACCAAUAGGUCCUGGGUUUGAUUCCCACAAGGGGG